UUUUAUUUAUUUAUUCCUGAGAGGCACAGAGAGAGAGAGAGAGAGGCAGAGACACAGGCAGAGGGAGAAGAAGGCUCCAUGCAGGGAGCCUGACGUGGGACUCGAUCCCAGGACUCAGGAUCACGCCUUGGGCCGAAGGCAGUCGCUAACCACUGAGCCACUCAGGGAUCCCAAGAUUUUAUUUUUUUCCCAAGAUUUUAUUUUUAAAUAACCUCUACACCCAACGUGGGGCUCGAACUUACAACCCUGAGAUCAAGAGUCUCAAGCUCCAUGGACUGAGCCAGCCAGGCGCCCCAUGUCUUUGUGGUUUUGAUUUGCAUUUGCCUUAUGGCUUUGAACAUUUCUUGAAGUGCUUCUCAGCCAUUUGUAUGUCUCCUUUGUCUAUUUUGAAUGUCUAUUCAGAUCCUUCGGCCAUUUUUAAAUUGGGUUGUUUGUCUUUUUAUUAUUGAGUUGUAAGAACCGUGGUAGAUAUUAAGUACAAAGCUGAUUGGAGCUAUUUGCCCAGAGCCAAAGUCUUAUUUGCAGAGUCCCUGAAGUUUGGCCCCUGGGCACGAAACUUCCUGUCCUACUGCCCCAUAGGCUCACAGCCCUGCCCAGCAUGCCCCCCGCCCUCAGUCAGGAGCGAGGCACCUCUCCUUCCUUGCUCACCCCUCUAACCCAAGCAAUUCAGAACAAGCCCCUCCUCACAGGUGGGGAACAUGAGGCUCUGGAAGGUAAAGCCCUUUGCUCAAGGUCACACGGUUGGGGAGGGGCAGCUGGGCUCACACUGAGGUCCAUCCAACUACACCCCACACUUCCUCCACAAAUUUACUGCACAUUUACGUGUCCUGCCUGGGUCAUUUCUCCUUUACACUCAUGUUGCAUCCAUUCUCAUCCCAGCCACUCAAGGUAGGUCAUGCAGACAGUUUUCCUCAUUAUACAGAAGAAGCAGCUCAGGUAAGAGAGGUAAGGUGACUUUCCUAAGCCUCACAGCCAGCAAGAGACAGAGCACACAGCACCAUACCCAGGCACCAGCAGCUGGGGACCAGUCUCUGACCAAAAGCAUCUGACGUCAAUCCCCCUAAACCCAGCCACGCUGCCUGGGGGCUCUGUUUCUCUUCUGGAUCAGAGCCACCUCCACAAACCAGGAAAUUGUAGCAGCCAGCAGUCCACUGAAAUGGACCCAGGCUACCCAAGGUUCCUCCAGGGCAGCCCCCACCCAGCACCAGCUGGGUCCUCUGGCCGGGCACUCCCAGCCCUGCCCAGCCCAGCCCCAUCAGGCCCAGCCCCAGACCUUUGCCCCAGCAAGAAGCAGGACCCUAGUUUUCAUGGGCCUCUGGCCCUGGUUACCUCAUUCUUCUAUCACCCCAGGACCUGGGCACUUGGGGAAGAGGACACAGGCUGCAUGCAUGUGGUUUGCAAGAUGUAUACCAAUCAGAAAAACCCUUAGGUCCAGCUCCAUGAAGUGUCUCAUCCCACCUGAGGUUGCCCUUGACUCCUACUAGAUUACAAAGCUCCCGUUGGGCAAUUAAAAUUAGGACAUUCUAGAUGCCCCACUGGAGCUGACAGACUAGACAAGACAGAGAAUGAAAAAUGAGAAAAAUUGAGUAUGGGGUGCCUGGGUGGCUCAGUCUGUUAAGCGUGUGACUCUUAAUUUUAGCUUCAGGGCAUGAUCUCAGUGUCGUGAGAUUGAGCCCUGUGUCAGGCUCUGUGCUGGGCAUGGAAUCUGCUUGGGAUUCCCUUCUCUCUCCCUCUCCCUCUGCCCAUCUCCUCCCCCUAAGAAAGAAAAGAAAAGAAAGAAAAGAAAAGAAAAGAAAAGAAAAAAGAAAAGAAAAGAAAAGAAAAGAAAAGAAAAGAAAAGAAAAGAAAAGAAAAGAAAAGAAAAGAGAAGAAAAAUUGAGUAUGACAGUGUUAAAACCUAAGGAGAAGUCUGUAAAGGAGACAGGACCUUGUGGGGUGAGUGGCCACAGUUUUAAACAGUGUGGUCAGGGAAGGCCUGGCUGGGAGCAAACACUUAGAGAAGAAGAUAUGGAGUCAGGACAGCUACAAUCAAACAGCACUAACAUCGUGUUUUGCAGCUUAGACAGGACCGUAGUAGCAUUCUGCUUUGCAGCCUUUGCAGAAAUGACUUUGGCAGAAUGUCCUAAAGUAAGAUGGUUAACCGCAAAGCAUUUGUCCAUAUCAUAGGCAAUGGGCAGUUAAGACCUAAGCCCCCAGAUGUCAGCAAAAGACCACCUGCACAUUGACCUUAACCUAGUAGGUAGACAGAGACGUAACCAAAGCCCCAAUCUCAGCACAACUUUUAGCACACUCUGGUUGCUUUAAGAGUUGCUUUGGUUGCUUUGGUUCUGCAAAGGGGAUCCCUGGGAGGCUCAGUGGUUUAGUGCCUGCCUUCAGCCCAGGGCAUGAUCCUGGAGUCCCGGGAUUGAGUCCCGGGAUCAAGUCCCACAUCGGGCUCCUUGCACGGAGCCUGCCUCUCCCUCUGCCUCUCUCUCUCUCUCGAAUAAAUAAAUAAAAUCUCUGCAAAAAAGCUCAUAAAACCCCUAAAUUUAGAGACUCCAAGGGAAAUCCAUGCAGGCCCCCCCUCCCUCUCUGGGAGCUUUAUAAUCUUACCCAAUAAACCUUGCUUUGCUGCCCACCACUCUUCGUCUGGUUCGAAGUGGCAUGACCAAGAACGGCAGGCACUGAGAGGACAAAAGUCCUGUAAUACCACCAAUGCCAAUGCCAAAAGGCUCCAAGCAGGGUCAGGGAGAGCUCAAGAAUGGGAGUGUUACAAUUAAUAAAGGGAACCCUCACUGAAGUAGACCAGGCAUGUAGGAGGGGAGGCUGGUGGGGGAGCCUAUCACUCCGUGUCAAUUACAGGAAGAAUCCUCAAUUACAGACCUCAACAAGGAAAGAUGUACAUGACAUAUUUCAUCUCCUGUAAGAAAUCUACGACUCCUGGGACACCAGAGUGGCUCAAUGGUUGAGCGUCUGCCUUUGGCCCAGGUCAUGAUCCCGGGGAGCUGAGAUGGAGUUCCACAUAGGGUUCCCUGCAGGGAGCCUGUUCUCCCAUUGUCUAUGUCUCUGCCUCUCUCUCUAUGUCUCUCAUGAGUAAGUAAAUGAAAUCUUAAAAAAAAAGAAAGAAAGAAAUCCACGACCCCUGAAACUCCACAGAUGAGAUACCAUCAUUGUCCUGAGCUCCUACUUGUCUCCUAUCUCCAAUGAACUUUGGUUCAAAACAAGCCUUCCCAAUUUCCUCCUUCUUCUCCAUAAAAUAAUGUUCUUCUGUUGGACCUGUCUAUUGUUGGUUUUGCUGUAGUUGGCUUGUUUUGGAUUACAAUUCCCUAUAUUCCCAAAGAAAUGCAUUUUUGCUGGUAAACUAUUUGGCAGUAAGGUCAGCACUACUUGGUGAUGAGAGGUGGGAUCCAGAGAAGACCCCCAACAGCUCUGGGGCUGGUGAGCAGACAGGCACCCGUACCCAUAGAGCCCAACUAGCAGCGUUCUCACUGACCAUGGAGGUUGAGGGCACAUUUUCUCCUGGAUUUCAAGCUCUGUGCUUUGUGUCCAAAAUCUCUAGGCUUUACUUGGGAGCUGUUUUAAGGCUUUAGUCUUUGUUGAUUUUUUUUUUUUUUAAUCUCUGAGGGCAUUCAUUCAUUGGCCUCCAGAGCUCCUGGAAUGGAGUACCCAUCGGGCUCCCAGCAAGGAGCCUGCUUCUCCCUCUGCCUGUGUCUCUCUUUCUGUGUCUCUCAUAAACAAAUAAAUAAAAAUCUUUUAAAAGUAAAAAAUAAACAUAAAUAAAUAUUUAAAUAAAUAAAUAAACCUCCAGUUUCCUGCAUUCCCUGGACUAAGGCUGGAUUACAAGCUUCAGGUAAAAGAGAUUCCUAAAGUCACUGAGGACCCCGGUAGCUUGCUGAAGAAUCUAACAUAGUUAUUCAAAUCUACCAACCUGGUUUCUCAGAGUUAUAUCAAUCGGUCUACAUACCUGUAGGUGAGGACCAGGCCAAUCACUGGAUAAAACAAACUGGAAAGUAACAUCCUGAAGGGGAUUUCGAGACAGAAACCCCCAACUUUUGGCAAGAUGCCAGAACAUUCUGCUGGAAAUCCCCACCAAGCAAUUAUAGUGGCCACCUGCAGACUGAAACAAGAUUCAGGCUUGCACACAAAAAUCUGUUCAUAACUAUUACCGUCAACUCCAAAUUGUCCUUUAAGGAUAUUCUGGGGGGACCUGGGUGGCUGAGUCCAUGAAGCAUCUGACUUUUGAUUUCAGCUCAAGUCUUGAUCUCA
This 4245-nucleotide transfer RNA is filed under the name Canis lupus familiaris (dog). RNAcentral describes it as "lncRNA (ENSCAFG00000057750.1)". Lineage: Eukaryota; Metazoa; Chordata; Mammalia; Carnivora; Canidae. The record is from RNAcentral.